This 499-nucleotide ribosomal RNA is filed under the name uncultured Gammaproteobacteria bacterium. Its description in RNAcentral is "bacterial SSU rRNA". It matches the Rfam family "Bacterial small subunit ribosomal RNA", at positions 1002 to 1501 of the family's 1533-position model. Lineage: Bacteria; Pseudomonadati; Pseudomonadota; Gammaproteobacteria. The record is from RNAcentral.
AGAGAUAGGACUGUGCCUUCGGGAACUGUGAGACAGGUGCUGCAUGGCUGUCGUCAGCUCGUGUUGUGAAAUGUUGGGUUAAGUCCCGCAACGAGCGCAACCCUUAUCCUUAUUUGCCAGCGAUUCGGUCGGGAACUCUAAGGAGACUGCCGGUGAUAAACCGGAGGAAGGUGGGGACGACGUCAAGUCAUCAUGGCCCUUACGGGAUGGGCUACACACGUGCUACAAUGGUAUGUACAGAGGGAAGCGAACUUGCGAGAGUAAGCGGAGCCCUUAAAGCAUAUCGUAGUCCGGAUUGGAGUCUGCAACUCGACUCCACGAAGUCGGAAUCGCUAGUAAUCGCGGAUCAGAAUGCCGCGGUGAAUACGUUCCCGGGCCUUGUACACACCGCCCGUCACACCAUGGGAGUGGGUUGCUCCAGAAGUGGCUAGUCUAACCUUCGGGAGGACGGUCACCACGGAGUGAUUCAUGACUGGGGUGAAGUCGUAACAAGGUAGCA